CCCUUCUUAGCUCAGUUGGAAGAGCAUCUGACUGUAACAUUGGCUGGAUCACACCAGUAUCCUAGUCACUAGCCAUCAGGAGGUCUCCGGUUCGAACCCGGAAGAAGGGA
This is a non-coding RNA of Chytridium lagenaria, 110 nucleotides long. The record is from the annotation of a GenBank genome assembly. NCBI's taxonomy places the organism in Eukaryota, Fungi, Chytridiomycota, Chytridiomycetes, Chytridiales, Chytridiaceae.